UGGGGAAUAUUGCGCAAUGGGCGAAAGCCUGACGCAGCAACGCCGCGUGUGUGAUGAAGGCCUUCGGGUUGUAAAGCACUUUCGGUUGGGAAGAAGGGUGUAUGUGCUAACAGUGCAUGCAUUUGAUGGUACCAAAAGAAGAAGCACCGGCUAACUUCGUGCCAGCAGCCGCGGUAAUACGAAGGGUGCGAGCGUUGUUCGGAAUUACUGGGCGUAAAGGGUUCGUAGGCGGAAUUGUAAGUUAGAUGUGAAAACUUCGGGCUCAACCCGGAACGUGCAUCUAAAACUACUUUUCUUGAGUGUUGGAGAGGGCAGUGGAAUUGCUGGUGUAGGAGUGACAUCCGUAGAGAUCAGCAGGAACACCGGAGGCGAAGGCGACUGCCUGGCCGAACACUGACGCUGAGGAACGAAAGCGUGGGGAGCAAACAG
RNAcentral lists this ribosomal RNA (429 nucleotides) under uncultured bacterium. RNAcentral describes it as "bacterial SSU rRNA". It matches the Rfam family "Bacterial small subunit ribosomal RNA", at positions 355 to 775 of the family's 1533-position model. The record is from RNAcentral.